RNAcentral lists this ribosomal RNA (468 nucleotides) under uncultured bacterium. RNAcentral's name for it is "partial 16S ribosomal RNA". It matches the Rfam family "Bacterial small subunit ribosomal RNA", at positions 28 to 507 of the family's 1533-position model. The record is from RNAcentral.
GACGAACGCUGGCGGCGUGCUUAACACAUGCAAGUCGAACGGAAAGGCCCUGCUUUUGUGGGGUGCUCGAGUGGCGAACGGGUGAGUAACACGUGAGUAACCUGCCCUUGACUUUGGGAUAACUUCAGGAAACUGGGGCUAAUACCGGAUAGGAGCUCCUGCUGCAUGGUGGGGGUUGGAAAGUUUCGGCGGUUGGGGAUGGACUCGCGGCUUAUCAGCUUGUUGGUGGGGUAGUGGCUUACCAAGGCUUUGACGGGUGGCCGGCCUGAGAGGGUGACCGGCCACAUUGGGACUGAGAUACGGCCCAGACUCCUACGGGAGGCAGCAGGGGGGAAUAUUGCACAAUGGGCGGAAGCCGGAUGCAGCAACGCCGCGGGCGGGAUGACGGCCUUCGGGUUGUAAACCGUUUUCGCCUGUGACGAAGCGUGAGUGACGGUAAUGGGUAAAGAAGCACCGGCUAACUACGUG